This 89-nucleotide transfer RNA is filed under the name bacterium. RNAcentral's name for it is "tRNA-Ser". It matches the Rfam family "tRNA". Rfam says of the family: Transfer RNA (tRNA) molecules are approximately 80 nucleotides in length. Their secondary structure includes four short double-helical elements and three loops (D, anti-codon, and T loops). The record is from RNAcentral.
GGAGAGGUGCUGGAGUGGCCGAACAGGGCAGCCUGCUAAGCUGUUGUACGCCGCAAGGUGUACCGGGGGUUCGAAUCCCCCCCUCUCCG